AAAAUCGAAUCAAACAAUUUAAUUCGUGCAUGCUUACAAGAUCAAAUCUAGAAAUCAGCAUUGUAAGAACACAUAGAAUUAUGCCGGAAUCGUUUAAACAAAUAUGCUAAAACUUUAUGCAUGAUUAACUAUCAGAUCUGAAAGGUAAACACUCUAUUCUGAUUAAUCUCCGAAUAUCCAUCGAAUGGAUUCUAGAGAUAACUCCGUGAGGAGCCCCGAAGGAGGGUAAAACCUCGAAGAAUCGGACCUAGACCCUGACUCCAAAAUAAAAGAUUAAUAUAGAAUUAAUACCUUUUAUAAUGAAAGAAACUUGUGAAUCUGAUCCUUGACUUCGCAGCCACGCACAUGAAUGGCCACUACGAGAAGUACAUGCGAAGCCC
Molecule: long non-coding RNA, 380 nt
Filed under: Phoenix dactylifera (date palm)
Lineage: Eukaryota; Viridiplantae; Streptophyta; Magnoliopsida; Arecales; Arecaceae
Description: long non-coding RNA (PDAC_LNC010079)
Source: RNAcentral